Molecule: transfer RNA, 88 nt
Filed under: Herelleviridae sp.
Lineage: Duplodnaviria; Heunggongvirae; Uroviricota; Caudoviricetes; Herelleviridae
Description: tRNA-Ser
Rfam family: tRNA
About the family: Transfer RNA (tRNA) molecules are approximately 80 nucleotides in length.
Source: RNAcentral
GCCGGCGUACUCAAGGGGUCGAAGAGGUUUGUCUUGAAAACAAAGAGGAGUGUAAAAGCUCGCGAGCGUUCGAAUCGUUCCGCCGGCG